This 730-nucleotide ribosomal RNA is filed under the name Flavobacterium sp. Its description in RNAcentral is "bacterial SSU rRNA". It matches the Rfam family "Bacterial small subunit ribosomal RNA", at positions 59 to 790 of the family's 1533-position model. Lineage: Bacteria; Pseudomonadati; Bacteroidota; Flavobacteriia; Flavobacteriales; Flavobacteriaceae. The record is from RNAcentral.
CAGUCGAGGGGUAUAGGUUUUCGGAUCUAGAGACCGGCGCACGGGUGCGUAACGCGUAUGCAAUCUACCUUUUACAGAGGGAUAGCCCAGAGAAAUUUGGAUUAAUACCUCAUAGUAUUAUGAAAUGGCAUCAUUUUAUAAUUAAAGUCACAACGGUAAAAGAUGAGCAUGCGUCCCAUUAGCUAGUUGGUAAGGUAACGGCUUACCAAGGCAACGAUGGGUAGGGGUCCUGAGAGGGAGAUCCCCCACACUGGUACUGAGACACGGACCAGACUCCUACGGGAGGCAGCAGUGAGGAAUAUUGGACAAUGGGCGCAAGCCUGAUCCAGCCAUGCCGCGUGCAGGAUGACGGUCCUAUGGAUUGUAAACUGCUUUUGUACGAGAAGAAACACUACUUCGUGAAGUAGCUUGACGGUAUCGUAAGAAUAAGGAUCGGCUAACUCCGUGCCAGCAGCCGCGGUAAUACGGAGGAUCCAAGCGUUAUCCGGAAUCAUUGGGUUUAAAGGGUCCGUAGGCGGUUUAGUAAGUCAGUGGUGAAAGCCCAUCGCUCAACGGUGGAACGGCCAUUGAUACUGCUAGACUUGAAUUAUUAGGAAGUAACUAGAAUAUGUAGUGUAGCGGUGAAAUGCUUAGAGAUUACAUGGAAUACCAAUUGCGAAGGCAGGUUACUACUAAUUGAUUGACGCUGAUGGACGAAAGCGUGGGUAGCGAACAGGAUUAGAUACCCUGG